Xiphophorus hellerii (green swordtail) is the source of this 2395-nucleotide long non-coding RNA. RefSeq lists it as uncharacterized. NCBI's taxonomy places the organism in Eukaryota, Metazoa, Chordata, Actinopteri, Cyprinodontiformes, Poeciliidae. The record is from RefSeq and is a predicted model, not a curated record. The transcript has 4 exons.
GUUUUUCUUCCGUGUCCGCCCCUUCAUGUAGCCUACUGUCAAAAAUGCCGAAACGUUGCGUGGCGGCUGGCUGUUCUAAUUACCCGAGUGAACACAUCUCACUGUUCUCAUUCCCAAAGGAUGAAGAGCUUCGGAACCAGUGGACGAAGCAGGUCCAGAGAACCAGAGGCAGCUGGCUUCCCACUGCGUCCUCUGUUCUCUGCAGCGAGCAUUUCCCUGCGCACUGCUUCGAGGAGGCGCCCGGAUUAAAGGAGUCUUUCGGUUUGAAAGUGCGUUACAGACGGGUUAUCAAACCGACUGCUGUCCCUUCCAUUUUCACAGCUGAAGACGGUACCAGCGGAACCAAACAGCACAGAGCAGCUCCAGUUCCCAGACACUCCAGGAAAAGAGUAAGUUACUGUCGAUCCGGUUGGGUUCGGGAGGUUCGAGUAUAAAAUCAGAUGUUUUCAAAGAGUAGCAGAACUUCAGCUUAUUUUUACUGAAAUGUGAGUGAAAAUGAGUUAUAAAGCAUUAUAUUUCAGUACUAUCUUUAAGGCUUAAAUAAAAUACAAACUUAAAAAUAUCAUUAAUAAAUUCAUGCAGAAGAACGCAAAGGGGGCGGGACUUCCGGCGGAAGUAAACAAUAAGCUUUAGCUUCUAGGCGAUCUUCUGCAUAUCGCAGAUUUUUGUAGUAACAACAUCUUCGGUUUGUAAAACCCAAAGACAGCAGGUGUGCCUCCUCUCCAGAUCCACUUACCUGUCUAGUGGUGGCGGUGAUUCAUUUAAAUUGAGGUUCCAACCGCCACUAAAAUCAAAAGAAGAAGAAGACUACAGGUUUUUCACAGCAGUAUGUCUGCUAAUCACGCUGCCAUAACUUCAAAGAGGAGCUCCUUUCUUGAUCAAAAGAUGCCAAAUGUUAAAAUAAAAGGGGAACAGGAGGAACUAGAACCGAAGAAGAUCACUGAGACUAAAGAGGAACAAGAACCAACCAAAGAACACGAUGAACUGUGGAUCUAUGAGGAUGAAGGUCAGAUGGAGACUUCUGAAAAUAUAUUCCACAAUGAACCAGAACAACGGCUGAUUGUAGCAAUGAAGAAGGAACCGGAUCCAAUGCAGAUCAAACAGGAGCCAGAACCAGAACAAAUGAAAGAGGAACCAGAACCUUUGCUAAUUAAACAGAAACCAGAACCUGUGGAGAUUAAAGUGGAACCAUCUCUGUACUACUGUACAGAUAGUAAUGGAACUAGAACCUUUAGUAGAGGAAUCAGAACCUGUAUUGAAGAAAUGGAAAGGUCUUUCCAGUAAUGCUCAAACCAAACCAAAAAAAGUUCCUCUCUGCACAAGGCAGCAAACCUAAGAAACAACAGCAGGAGAACAGGAACCAGGAAGCCUCCGGAGCAAAUGGAGGCUCCGGAGCUGAACAUCAGCUCGCCCAUUAACAAGGUAGAGAUUUCAAAACCAAAAACUCGUAGAACAAAUCGGCACACUUGUGAAAUAUGUGGUAAAUGUUACCGCUUGCCCAGCGAUUUGACCGACCACUUAACUCAUUCAGGUGAGAGGCCUUUUUGCUGUAAAUUGUAUGGUAAACACUUUAAUGAAACGACUCAAUUGGCUCAUCACAUAAAAAUUCACACAAGCGAGAAGCUUUGUAAACUGCGUGGUAAAUCGUUCCAGUUAUUUGGCUCCUCUCAGUGGGAAACGGUGAUUUCCUUCCUAUAGAUUUUAAAACUUUCCUCCAACUGUUUUCAUUGAGUGAUCUGCCUUGUUUCCACUUCUUUCCCAUUGAUUAAUAAACCUGAUUUAAGUGUUGAGGCUUCACGUAAACCUCGUAUUCAACCAGCAACAAAAGACCAGAAGUAUGACUCAUGUUUAAAAUCAUCUAUAAACAUUUUAAAUCAAGCAGAAUUAAACUGUUUACAGAACAAUUACAUCUCUUAGCAAUCUUUGUCUAUUUCCAUGUUUCUCACCCAGUUACAAAGUUUUCAGUUUGAGAUCGGUUCCAUUGCCAUGAACGUGUUGAAGAAAAUUUUAUUCUAGUUACUUUAACGAUAAAAAGGGAUAUAUUUCUAAAAUUUGACCAAUCAAAACUUGAGUUUUUCCGGCCCUAUGUUAUUACACACCAGACUCACGCUUGUGUUCUGUUUGUUUCACCUCUUAGGUUGUUUGUUUUUUGAAUCCAACAAAAAGUUUUAUAGUGUAGAGGAAGCAUUUCAGAUGAUCCGUGAAGACUCGGGGACAGAAGUGUGUCCAGGAUUCCUCGUCUGAAGAUGAGGACCUCGUUUUUCCGGCUCACAAUGAUGAAGAUUUGGAGUUUGAAGGGCGUCAACUUGAGAGUGAUGACAGAGGUGAUGAGCCACCGAGGAAAGUCUUGAGCUCUGCCUCAUAUGAGCCUGAGAGGAGGAAUACCAACAGAAGA